CGGGGCGUGGCGCAGCCCGGUAGCGCACCUGCUUUGGGAGCAGGAUGUCGGCGGUUCAAAUCCGCCCGCCCCGACCA
This 77-nucleotide transfer RNA is filed under the name Nitrospinota bacterium. RNAcentral's name for it is "tRNA-Pro". It matches the Rfam family "tRNA". Rfam says of the family: Transfer RNA (tRNA) molecules are approximately 80 nucleotides in length. Their secondary structure includes four short double-helical elements and three loops (D, anti-codon, and T loops). RNAcentral also lists the same sequence under 1 other name. The record is from RNAcentral. Lineage: Bacteria; Pseudomonadati; Nitrospinota.